This is a non-coding RNA of Chiloscyllium plagiosum (whitespotted bambooshark), 101 nucleotides long. The record is from RefSeq and is a predicted model, not a curated record. NCBI's taxonomy places the organism in Eukaryota, Metazoa, Chordata, Chondrichthyes, Orectolobiformes, Hemiscylliidae.
CUGCAAGUGGCCUCACCAACAUCUUGUACAACAUCUAAAUGAUGUCCCAGCUCCUUUAUUCAAUGGUGUGAACAAUUAAGGUAACAACAACUUUGAAAGCC